RNAcentral lists this long non-coding RNA (1214 nucleotides) under Salmo salar (Atlantic salmon). RNAcentral's name for it is "lncRNA (ENSSSAG00000093068.1)". The record is from RNAcentral. Lineage: Eukaryota; Metazoa; Chordata; Actinopteri; Salmoniformes; Salmonidae.
AGAUCACAGAGGCUGCCUGGGUCCCCAGAGUUAGAUCACAGAGGCUGCCUGGGUCCCCAGAGUUAGAUCACAGAGGCUGCCUGGGCCCCCAGAGUUAGAUCACAGAGGCUGCCUGGGUCCCCAGAGUUAGAACACAGAGGCUGCCUGGGCCCCCAGAAAUAGAACACAGAGGCUGCCUGGGCCCCCAGAGUUAGAUCACAGAGGGGCCUCCCGAGUGGCGCAGUCAUCUAAAGCACUGCAUUGCAAUGCUAGCUGUGCCUCUAGAGAUUCUGGGUUCGAGUCCAGGCUCUGUCGCAGACGGCUGCGACCGGGAGACCCAUGGGGCAGCGCACAAUUGGCCCAGCGUCGCCCGGGUUAGGGGAGGGUUUGGCCGGCAGGGAUGUCCUUGUCCCAUCGCGCACUAGUGACUCCUGUUAUUGUGCCAAGAAGCAGUGCGGUUUGGUUGGGUUGUGUUUUGAAGGAUGCACGGCUCUCGACCUUCGCCUCUCCCGAGUCCGUGCGGGAGUUGCAGCGAUGAGACAAGACUGUAACUACCAAUUGGAUACAAUGAAAUUGGGGAGAAAAAGGGGUAAUAUUUUUUUUUUAAAGGGUUAGAUCACAGAGGCUGGGCCCCCAGAGUUAGAACACAGAGGAUAUUGUUUUCCAGUAUAGGACUGAGAUCUAGUUUUAUAAGACUGUUAUAGCCAUCAGCUAGACUGAGAUGUCUUGCCAUCACCAAAAAAAGGUGAAGUGAAAAAUAUGAGAGCGAAAGAGAUGGUGUGAUAUCCCCCUUCUCCUUGGCACCUUGGUCCUGUGCUGUCAUUUUUUCCCCCAGUCAGGCCUGUGCUGCAUUGGAUUGGGCUGUAGUUAGGUGCUUGAUGAAGCUGCUGGAGCUGGUCCUGCACCCAGGGCUCUGGAAGGAAUUAUAGUUUUACUGCUCAGGAUCAAGCUGGCCAGGAUUGGAAGAACCACCAGCUCAGGCCAGGGUUGGAAGGACCACCAGCUCAGGCCAGGGUUGGAAGGACCACCAGCUCAGGCCAGGGUUGGAAGGACCACCAGCUCAACCUCUAACACACAACCACCACUAUCCUGUCUCUGGACUUCCUGUGCCUCACACCUCAUUCAUAUAGAUGAUCAUAGAUAGGCUCUAAUGAAGGUGAUUCAUGCUGAAAUGUCAGCCGAUUGUUUACUUGUCCCGUCAAUAAAUCCAUCAGAUCUACCCAGCAACAGAGUGC